GUGCUUUCACAGUGGGUUAGCCGUCAGAUUUGUAAGUUUUUUCAGAAAGGAAACUGUAAGUACGGCUCAGGUUGUAAAUUUACUCAUUCAAUGAGUGGGGAUGGUGCAGAAGCAGAACCUAUGCGUCAGGAUACAACUUGGGGUAAGAAAAGACACGCAGCCAAGUCAAGCUCUAGGCCAUGGAAGAGGG
Brassica oleracea var. oleracea is the source of this 190-nucleotide long non-coding RNA. RefSeq lists it as uncharacterized. The record is from RefSeq and is a predicted model, not a curated record. NCBI's taxonomy places the organism in Eukaryota, Viridiplantae, Streptophyta, Magnoliopsida, Brassicales, Brassicaceae. The transcript has 3 exons.